AUUGAGCGCUGGCGGCAGGCCUAACACAUGCAAGUCGAGCGGUAGAGAGGUGCUUGCACCUCUUGAGAGCGGCGGACGGGUGAGUAAUGCCUAGGAAUCUGCCUGGUAGUGGGGGAUAACGCUCGGAAACGGACGCUAAUACCGCAUACGUCCUACGGGAGAAAGCAGGGGACCUUCGGGCCUUGCGCUAUCAGAUGAGCCUAGGUCGGAUUAGCUAGUUGGUGAGGUAAUGGCUCACCAAGGCGACGAUCCGUAACUGGUCUGAGAGGAUGAUCAGUCACACUGGAACUGAGACACGGUCCAGACUCCUACGGGAGGCAGCAGUGGGGAAUAUUGGACAAUGGGCGAAAGCCUGAUCCAGCCAUGCCGCGUGUGUGAAGAAGGUCUUCGGAUUGUAAAGCACUUUAAGUUGGGAGGAAGGGUCGUUACCUAAUACGUGACGAUUUUGACGUUACCGACAGAAUAAGCACCGGCUAACUCUGUGCCAGCCGCCGCAGUAA
Molecule: ribosomal RNA, 500 nt
Filed under: uncultured bacterium
Lineage: Bacteria
Description: partial 16S ribosomal RNA
Rfam family: Bacterial small subunit ribosomal RNA
Source: RNAcentral